GACGAACGCUGGCGGCGUGCUUAACACAUGCAAGUCGAACGGACUACCUUGCUUCGGUAAGGUGGUUAGUAGCGAACGGGUGAGUAACACGUGGGUGAUCUGCCCUGCACUUCGGGAUAAGCCUGGGAAACUGGGUCUAAUACCGGAUAGGACUCCUGGCUUCAUGGUUGGGGGUGGAAAGCUUUUGCGGUGUGGGAUGGGCCCGCGGCCUAUCAGCUUGUUGGUGGGGUAAUGGCCUACCAAGGCGACGACGGGUAGCCGGCCUGAGAGGGGGACCGGUCACACUGGGACUGAGAUACGGCCCAGACUCCUAGGGGAGGCAGCAGUGGGGAAUAUUGCACAAUGGGCGCAAGCCUGAUGCAGCGACGCCGCGUGGGGGAUGACGGCCUUCGGGUUGUAAACCUCUUUCAGCUAUGACGAAGCGCAAGUGACGGUAGUAGCAGAAGAAGGACCGGCCAACUACGUGCCAGCCGCCGCCGUAA
This 482-nucleotide ribosomal RNA is filed under the name uncultured bacterium. Its description in RNAcentral is "partial 16S ribosomal RNA". It matches the Rfam family "Bacterial small subunit ribosomal RNA", at positions 28 to 523 of the family's 1533-position model. The record is from RNAcentral.